RNAcentral lists this long non-coding RNA (1412 nucleotides) under Homo sapiens (human). Its description in RNAcentral is "cancer susceptibility 8 (CASC8)". Lineage: Eukaryota; Metazoa; Chordata; Mammalia; Primates; Hominidae. The record is from RNAcentral.
UGAACCACCCCAGGCCCUUUGCACCUGCUAUUCCCUCUCCUCAGCAUGCUCUGCCCCAGACAAUUGCAAUGCUAACUUCUUACUUCCUUCAGGUUUCACUCAGAAAUGACUUUCUCAGUGGGGUCUCCCAUGACCAUUUUAUUUAAGAUUUCAACUACUUUGCCAGUAUUUCACUUCUCCUCCCUUGAUCUUUUCUUCCAAGCACUCACUGCCCUCUUGCACACUGUAUCUUUUACUUAUUUAUCUUGUUCAGUUUCUGCCUGCCUCACCUGCCUCACCACAGUGUACAUUUCACGAGGGCAGGGAUUUUGUCUGUUUUGUUGAUUGCUGUAGCCCUGGCAUCUUGGGCAGUGCCAGCACCUGUUAGCAUUAAAUACAUAUUUACUGAAUGAAUGAGUGGCUUCAUGCUUAAAAGCAAGAAGAGAGACCUUCAUAGAGAAGUAGGAAAAUGAAUUGUUGCACAAAUAAAGGGCCAUGUAAUGAGAGAGAGAGAGCAAGAGAAAGAGCAAACAAUUAAGGAGCAGCAGUGGCUUCCUGCAGGGGAGACCAAUGCCUUCUGUCCUCAGCGGAAACAGCUUGGCAUUCUUCCAAUUGAUGAAUGGCAUGGACCAGGAGCACUAGUUAUCUUCAGCUUCUGAGCAUCCGAAUAAAUAAACAUACAAAUGCAUAACAUAAAAUAAAUUCAAAUUACAAAUGAGAAAACCAAUCUAGGUUACCGGCAAGUCCUAUGACUUGAUGUGGAGGCCUGGAAGUGCAUCCUUGAAUCUUGCAAUGCAGUGAGCCAAGGAGCAAUGAGAGGCCACAUGAAUAACCGGGCCAGUGACAAGACACAUGUCCUCCUCCUUGCUGGUAUACACCAGAAUGCCCCGCAUGCAGCGAAUGCUCAAAAAGUGUUGGUGGAAGUGACAGAAUUCCAUCACCAUUAAACACAACCAGUGUUGCGGUUGACAAUGGCACUGAAGCAGGUGAAAAAUCCGUACAGCAGCUUCUGUCUUUGAAGAGUUUGCAGCCUCUUGAAGAGGGUUUAGAGGUUAAAAAAAGGACCCAGGCUGAUAGGGCCGCUACCAUUUGGAAAGUGACAAGAGGAAGAGAGAGAAUGAAACAACAGUAAGCACUGGCUCUCAGCUUCUACCUGAAGAGACAAACAUUGCUUUCACUUACAUUUCACUGGCCAAAUCAAGCCCAUGGCAACAAUUGAGUUCAAAAGCAUAAGGAGGUAUCUGGAAGGAAGAGAAUCAGAAAAUUUCUGAUGAGCCUCACUGACUACCUUCAGGGCAAAAAGGAAGAGAGGCACUCCAGAUCAGAGAUCUGCAUUGGAAACUCCUUGAGAACCAGAAGGGUAUGCUGUAUUUUUGUAACUGUGAGGAGCCCAGAAAGACUGAAGCCCAAAUAAAAUUCCUUUAUUCAAUAUU